AUUGUGUGAAUACAUAGCACAUUCGAGGUAGACGCAGAGAACUGAAACAUCUAAGUACCUGCAGGAAGAGAAAGAAAAUUCGAUUCCCUGAGUAGCGGCGAGCGAAACGGGAAAAGCCCAAACCAGCAAGCUUGCUUGUUGGGGUUGUAGGACUCCAAUAUGGUAGUUCUUUCAGAUAGUCGAAUGACUUGGAAAAGUCAGUCAAAGAGGGUAAAAACCCCGUAGACGAAAUGUGGAAGACACCUAGGAGGAUCCUGAGUACGGCGGAACACGAGAAAUUCCGUCGGAAUCCGGGAGGACCAUCUCCCAAGGCUAAAUACUCCCUAGUGACCGAUAGUGAACCAGUACCGUGAGGGAAAGGUGAAAAGCACCCCGGAAGGGGAGUGAAAUAGAACCUGAAACCGUGUGCCUACAACAAGUCAAAGCCCGUUAAUGGGUGAUGGCGUGCCUUUUGUAGAAUGAACCGGCGAGUUACGAUUGCAUGCGAGGUUAAGUUGAAGAGACGGAGCCGCAGCGAAAGCGAGUCUGAAUAGGGCGUUUGAGUAUGUAGUCGUAGACCCGAAACCAUGUGAUCUACCCAUGUCCAGGUUGAAGGUGCGGUAAAACGCACUGGAGGACCGAACCCACGUACGUUGAAAAGUGCGGGGAUGAGGUGUGGGUAGCGGAGAAAUUCCAAACGAACUUGGAGAUAGCUGGUUCUCUCCGAAAUAGCUUUAGGGCUAGCCUCGGAAUUGAGAAUGAUGGAGGUAGAGCACUGUUUGGACUAGGGGCCCAUCUCGGGUUACCGAAUUCAGAUAAACUCCGAAUGCCAUUCAUUCAUAUCCGGGAGUCAGACUGUGAGUGAUAAGAUCCAUAGUCGAAAGGGAAACAGCCCAGACCACCAGCUAAGGUCCCAAAAUAUAUGUUAAGUGGAAAAGGAUGUGGGGUUGCACAGACAACUAGGAUGUUGGCUUAGAAGCAGCCACCAUUUAAAGAGUGCGUAAUAGCUCAC
Molecule: ribosomal RNA, 991 nt
Filed under: Enterococcus faecium
Lineage: Bacteria; Bacillati; Bacillota; Bacilli; Lactobacillales; Enterococcaceae
Description: partial 23S ribosomal RNA
Rfam family: Bacterial large subunit ribosomal RNA
Source: RNAcentral